Molecule: ribosomal RNA, 246 nt
Filed under: uncultured bacterium
Lineage: Bacteria
Description: partial 16S ribosomal RNA
Rfam family: Bacterial small subunit ribosomal RNA
Source: RNAcentral
AUACGUAGGUGGCAAGCGUUGUCCGGAUUUACUGGGCGUAAAGGGUGCGUAGGUGGUUUCUUAAGUCAGGAGUGAAAGGCUACGGCUCAACCGUAGUAAGCUCUUGAAACUGGGAAACUUGAGUGCAGGAGAGGAAAGUGGAAUUCCUAGUGUAGCGGUGAAAUGCGUAGAUAUUAGGAGGAACACCAGUAGCGAAGGCGGCUUCCUGGUCUGUAACUGACACUGAGGCGCGAAAGCGUGGGGAGC